GACGAACGCUGGCGGCGCGCUUAACACAUGCAAGUCGAACGGAAAGGCCUGCUUUCCCUUGUGGAUUGCGGGUACUCGAGUGGCGAACGGGUGAGUAACACGUGAGUGAUCUGCCCCCAACUUGGGUAUAAGCCUGGGAAACUGGGUCUAAUUCCCGAUAGGACUGCAGGGUGGUGCCUGUGGUGGAAAACGAUUUUCUAGUGGUUGGGGAUGAGCUCGCGGCCUAUCAGCUUGUUGGUGGGGUAAUGGCCUACCAAGGCGGCGACGGGUAGCCGGCCUGGGGGGGUGGACGGCCACAUUGGGACUGAGAUACGGCCCAGACUCCUACGGGAGGCAGCAGUGGGGAAUAUGGCACAAUGGGCGGAAGCCUGAUGCAGCGACGCCGCGUGGGGGAUGACGGCCUUCGGGUUGUAAACUCCUUUCGACCGCGAGGAAGCCACCUGGUUGGAAGGGUGGUGACGGUAGUGGUAGAAGAAGCACCGGCUAACUACGUG
RNAcentral lists this ribosomal RNA (494 nucleotides) under uncultured bacterium. RNAcentral's name for it is "partial 16S ribosomal RNA". It matches the Rfam family "Bacterial small subunit ribosomal RNA", at positions 28 to 507 of the family's 1533-position model. The record is from RNAcentral.